Rhineura floridana is the source of this 2388-nucleotide long non-coding RNA. RefSeq lists it as uncharacterized. The transcript has 3 exons. The record is from RefSeq and is a predicted model, not a curated record. Lineage: Eukaryota; Metazoa; Chordata; Lepidosauria; Squamata; Rhineuridae.
GGGAAAUCAGGCGGCGCCAGGGUCGGCAGCUGACCCUUCGGCGAGGCACGGCGGUAUCUUUCGGUGUCCCAUCUGCUUCUCCUCGUCGUCUUCCCGAAGAUUUGCAGUACGGAGCAGACCAGUAUGCAGCUGUUAAACUUAACAUCUACCUCAUUUGCUGUAUGUUCAGAGGUGCCUAUCUCCUUCAUGUUUAAUCAGAGCCCCUGACGAAGGCCAAAACCCAAGGUGGCUGGAACGCGUUGGGCUUUUCUUUUUAUAAACUGCUUUGUAUUUUUACAAACCCACUUGUUGGCGUCUUGUGGGUCUUUCCCCCUUUUUUUCUCCAUCUUGACACUUGGCCACACCCCUUCUUCUGGCUGCAUUUUGAAGCAAUACUGCCCUCUGCUGGCCACAUCUCCCUUCCCCACUGCUGCAGACCUUUCAGGACCACCCACAGCAAAGUGUCAGGCCAAUCACUGUCUCCGCCUGAGCCUGCACCAAAGAGUUUCUCUUGGCCACACCUGAAAGACAAAGGGGUCUAUCUAUCAAUCAGCUGCAAAACCUCCCUGAAGCCAAUUUAAAAAAAAAAAAAAACACUGGAGCUGAUCUGAUGUUUUAAGAAUAAAAAAGGUUGGAGUUUGACUAGCCUAGUGUGCCCCCGUUUUGAAAAAAGAGAGGUAGAGACACACUUUUUCCAGCCCAAUAGCAAGUGUAUCUCUACCCCAACUCUGCUCUAUUUUCUGUAUGACAAUCUUCAGAUAGAACGGUAAGCAGCUGUGAAGACGUUGCACUAUGCUUGCAGAUACGGUAGCAUGACUAUUUUCACUAUGCAAAAUUGGAAAGAAUUCCCUAUAAGCACAUGAUGCCUUUGGGAACCAAUAAAUCUAUAGGUGGAAUACCUCAAGAUCAUCUACCCAUGGCAAUCAUAUCCUGCUGUUAGCAAUCACUAGUAGGCUUGAAACCCUACUGGGCUGCAGACCUCCAGGUGAAAGGAAGUUGGUAAAGAGGUGUUCCCUUUCCUAUUUGACUCCAUACUCAGAUCUACUUUAGGAUUGCUGACUUUCAAGAAUCAUUACCCUCAGUGCUAGUCAUAGGUUUUUUGGGGGGAUGCAUGGGCAAGAUGCUCUCACUGGACCCCAUUCCCCAAGUACAACUGUCUCAUCCUCUUCACCACUACUCAUUUGGUGGUCUCUCUCUUUGGACCCAAGCUAUACCCCCCCCGGGGAAGGAUAAUACAUGAAAAGGAUAUGCCUCCUUCCCCUACCUCCUCUCAUUGCCUGCUUAUUUGGGGAGGAGAGGUGAACAGGCAGGAACAAUAGGAGCAGGAGGCUCCAAGGAUUGAGCCCCCUACUGGUGCAUGGGGUUCAGCAAGUGUCCACUGAUGCCAAUCUCUGAUGCAGGCCUUGUUGAUCCUGAAACAGCAGCCCCUUUCUUUGCAGACAGAGAAUUACAGGACCCUUUAACAAUGUACCAGCUGAAAAAGACAUGUUGCCAUGAAGAAUCAUCCUUAAAAUCUACCUUUAUUAUGCUCAAUAUAAGAUGCAUAGAUAUGUGGAAUUAUUGUUUUAACUUGAGAGUGAAAAUGAUAUAUUUUGCAUUUUUUUCAAAACAUAUUUUGCACAGGACAUAAAUACUUAAAAAAAAUAACCUGGACUAUAUACAAGUUGAAAGAAAUUAAGAAGUAUAUGAUGAAGUGUUUUCCUGGCCUUCCACUGGGUAAGAAUUCCAGAAGCAACUGAAUAAGUAAAUUAUCUCCCGAGAGUGUGAAUCUCAAGAAAUCCUACAAUCGGCUUAAAAUUUAGCAAAAUGUGUGGGGAGAAAUCAGGAAGAGUUAGAAUGGUGUCUUUAAAAAGGAAAUCCUUAAAACGCUUUUUUGUUACAGUAUCACAGCAAAAUUGCAAAGCAGACCCCAAUGAUCACUAGGAAAUCUGCCACAGUCUAGUUUUUCCAGCCCAAUUAAAUCCAAACUCUGAGGAAUAAUUUGUCCACCAGCAGAAGCAGCUCGGAGGAAGAGGCGGUCAAACCUCAACUUGCACUUGUAACGUGCAUCCAAGUUAGUGUUUUGGCUUGUGUCCCAUGUGUAGCAGCAAUGUUCUGGCUUGCCCAAGAAUUCCCAAAUGUCUAAAACGUUAUUAGGCAAGCCACCUAGUUUAGCAACCUGAUGGAGAGAAAAGUGGAAAAACAUUAAGAGUGUAUUAUAACCAUAUUACUAAUAAUCUGUUUUUUGAACAAUAAAAGAUGGUGCCAUGUACUGAAAUUAUCACAAUUUUGUCUCUUCUUGUAUCUCAGGAGAUUUUAUAACAAAAUGUAAAAACUGUAUAGGAUACAAGACUGUGCCUUCCUCUAUCCUUUCUUCCCAAAUGUAUAUUAAAUAAUUCUCGCCUUUUCUUUGCUGUCCCUUUUAACUCU